RNAcentral lists this ribosomal RNA (420 nucleotides) under uncultured bacterium. RNAcentral's name for it is "partial 16S ribosomal RNA". It matches the Rfam family "Bacterial small subunit ribosomal RNA", at positions 360 to 772 of the family's 1533-position model. The record is from RNAcentral.
AAUAUUUGAAAAUGGGGGCAACCCUGAUCCAGCCAUGCCGUGUGUGUGAAGUAGGUCUUCGGAUUGCAAAGCACUUUAAGUUGGGAGGAAUGUCUAUAGGCUAAUCCGCUGAAGUUUUGACGUUACCAACAGAAUAAGUAUCGGCUAACUCUCUGCCAGCAGCCGCGGUAAUACAGAGGGUGCAAGCGUUAAUCGGAAUUACUGGGCGUAAAGCGCGCGUAGGUGGUUCAGUAAGAUGGGUGUGAAAUCCCCGGGCUUAACCUGGGAACUGCUUUCAUAACUGCUGAGCUAGAGUACGGUAGAGGGUAGUGGAAUUUCCUGUGUAGCGGUGAAAUGCGUAGAUAUAGGAAGGAACACCAGUGGCGAAGGCGACUACCUGGACUGAUACUGACACUGAGGUGCGAAAGCGUGGGGAGCAAA